UUAAUUGUUCCCAUUGCAGAG
Caenorhabditis elegans is the source of this 21-nucleotide non-coding RNA. The record is from Ensembl. NCBI's taxonomy places the organism in Eukaryota, Metazoa, Nematoda, Chromadorea, Rhabditida, Rhabditidae.